RNAcentral lists this ribosomal RNA (490 nucleotides) under uncultured bacterium. RNAcentral's name for it is "partial 16S ribosomal RNA". It matches the Rfam family "Bacterial small subunit ribosomal RNA", at positions 30 to 507 of the family's 1533-position model. The record is from RNAcentral.
AUUGAACGCUGGCGGCAUGCCUUACACAUGCAAGUCGAACGGCAGCAUGAUCUCGCUUGCUAGAUUGAUGGCGAGUGGCGAACGGGUGAGUAAUACAUCGGAACGUGCCCUGUGGUGGGGGAUAACUAGUCGAAAGAUUAGCUAAUACCGCAUACGACCUGAGGGUGAAAGUGGGGGACCGCAAGGCCUCAUGCUAUAGGAGCGGCCGAUGUCUGAUUAGCUAGUUGGUGAGGUAAAGGCUCACCAAGGCGACGAUCAGUAGCUGGUCUGAGAGGACGAUCAGCCACACUGGGACUGAGACACGGCCCAGACUCCUACGGGAGGCAGCAGUGGGGAAUUUUGGACAAUGGGCGAAAGCCUGAUCCAGCAAUGCCGCGUGUGUGAAGAAGGCCUUCGGGUUGUAAAGCACUUUUGUCCGGAAAGAAAUGGCUCUGGUUAAUACCUGGGGUCGAUGACGGUACCGGAAGAAUAAGGACCGGCUAACUACGUG